RNAcentral lists this ribosomal RNA (63 nucleotides) under Alisma gramineum. RNAcentral's name for it is "partial 18S ribosomal RNA". The stretch from base 1 to 42 matches the Rfam family "Eukaryotic small subunit ribosomal RNA", at positions 1790 to 1831 of the family's 1831-position model. RNAcentral also lists the same sequence under 1 other name. The record is from RNAcentral. Lineage: Eukaryota; Viridiplantae; Streptophyta; Magnoliopsida; Alismatales; Alismataceae.
CGUAACAAGGUUUCCGUAGGUGAACCUGCGGAAGGAUCAUUGUCGAGACCCGAACGCUUCAUU